This 373-nucleotide ribosomal RNA is filed under the name uncultured bacterium. RNAcentral describes it as "bacterial SSU rRNA". It matches the Rfam family "Bacterial small subunit ribosomal RNA", at positions 521 to 896 of the family's 1533-position model. The record is from RNAcentral.
UAAAACGUAGGACGCAAGCGUUAUCCGGAGUUACUGGGCGUAAAGCGCGGGCAGGCGGCUCGAAACGUCUGAUGUGAAAUCUCCUCGCUCAACGGGGAGAGGCCAUUGGAAACGGUCGAGCUGGAGGGCAGUAGAGGCAGGCGGAAUUCCGGGUGGAGUGGUGAAAUGCGUAGAGAUCCGGAGGAACACCAGAGGCGAAGGCGGCCUGCUGGGCUGCACCUGACGCUGAGCCGCGAAAGCCAGGGGAGCGAACGGGAUUAGAAACCCCGGUAGUCCUGGCCGUAAACGAUGUGUGCUGGAUGGCGGUUCGAAAGGGUCGUUGUCGAAGCUAACGCGAUAAGCACACCGCCUGGGGAGUACGGUCGCAAGGCUA